UGGGUAACCUGCCUCAAAGAGGGGAAUAGCCUCCCGAAAGGGAGAUUAAUACCGCAUAAUAUGUUUAGGUCGCAUGACUUUAACAUCAAAGGAUUUUCUUUUAGGAAUUCCACUUUGAGAUGGACCCCGCGGCGCAUUAGCUAGUUGGUGAGGUAACGGCUCACCAAGGCAACGAUGCGUAGCCGACCUGAGAGGGCGACCGACCACACGUGGGGCUGAGACACGGCCCAGACCUCCUACGGGGAGCA
This 248-nucleotide ribosomal RNA is filed under the name uncultured bacterium. RNAcentral describes it as "partial 16S ribosomal RNA". It matches the Rfam family "Bacterial small subunit ribosomal RNA", at positions 118 to 350 of the family's 1533-position model. The record is from RNAcentral.